ACGCUGGCGGCGUGCUUAACACAUGCAAGUCGAGCGAUGAAGCUCCUUCGGGAGUGGAUUAGCGGCGGACGGGUGAGUAACACGUGGGUAACCUGCCUCAUAGAGGGGAAUAGCCUUUCGAAAGGAAGAUUAAUACCGCAUAAGAUUGUAGUACCGCAUGGUACAGCAAUUAAAGGAGUAAUCCGCUAUGAGAUGGACCCGCGUCGCAUUAGCUAGUUGGUGAGGUAACGGCUCACCAAGGCGACGAUGCGUAGCCGACCUGAGAGGGUGAUCGGCCACAUUGGGACUGAGACACGGCCCAGACUCCUACGGGAGGCAGCAGUGGGGAAUAUUGCACAAUGGGGGAAACCCUGAUGCAGCAACGCCGCGUGAGUGAUGACGGUCUUCGGAUUGUAAAACUCUGUCUUUAGGGACGAUAAUGACGGUACCUAAGGAGGAAGCCACGGCUAACUACGUGCCAGCCGCCGC
Molecule: ribosomal RNA, 468 nt
Filed under: uncultured bacterium
Lineage: Bacteria
Description: bacterial SSU rRNA
Rfam family: Bacterial small subunit ribosomal RNA
Source: RNAcentral